GACGAACGCUGGCGGCGUGCCUAACACAUGCAAGUCGCACGGGGUAGCAAUACCCAGUGGCGAACGGGUGCGUAACACGUGAGGAACAUACCUAUCGGCGGGGGAUAGCCGGCCCAACGGCCGGGUAAUACCGCGUACGCUCUCCGGGGGGCAUCUCCUGGGGAGGAAAGCAGCAAUGCACCGAUAGAGUGCCUCGCGGCCCAUCAGCUAGUUGGUGAGGUAAUGGCUCACCAAGGCGACGACGGGUAGCUGGUCUGAGAGGAUGAUCAGCCACAUUGGGACUGAGACACGGCCCAGACUCCUACGGGAGGCAGCAGUGGGGAAUCUUGCGCAAUGGGCGAAAGCCUGACGCAGCGACGCCGCGUGUGGGAUGAAGGCCUUCGGGUCGUAAACCACUGUCGCGAGGGACGAAUACAUUGACGGUACCUCGAAAGGAAGCACCGGCUAACUCUGUGCCAGCAGCCGCGGUAAUACAGAGGGUGCGAGCGUU
RNAcentral lists this ribosomal RNA (490 nucleotides) under uncultured bacterium. Its description in RNAcentral is "bacterial SSU rRNA". It matches the Rfam family "Bacterial small subunit ribosomal RNA", at positions 28 to 542 of the family's 1533-position model. The record is from RNAcentral.